This 244-nucleotide long non-coding RNA is filed under the name Pan troglodytes (chimpanzee). RNAcentral's name for it is "long non-coding RNA NONPTRT010033". Lineage: Eukaryota; Metazoa; Chordata; Mammalia; Primates; Hominidae. The record is from RNAcentral.
GAAACUUUUCUGUAAAUCUGAAAACGUUUUUGUCUUAAAAAAAAAGUAAAUUAGGGGCUGGGUGCAGUGGCUCACACCUGUAAUCCCAGCACAUUUUGAUUGAUUUUUUAAAUUCUUGUUAGUAAAAAUGUAACACAGAAGGAAAAAAACAAACAAAGUUUACAUAAACAUAUAAAGCAAAAAACUGAGAGAUACACCUCUUUAUCCUCAUCCCACUCCCCAGAGGUAAUCAGUGUGAACAACU